Non-coding RNA from Pimephales promelas (fathead minnow), 416 nucleotides. The record is from RefSeq and is a predicted model, not a curated record. Lineage: Eukaryota; Metazoa; Chordata; Actinopteri; Cypriniformes; Leuciscidae.
AACGUUACAUUGCUAAUUUGCUUCUUCACUGUAGGCGAGUGGAUAUUUAGUGAUGACGACACAUUAACUUACCACUAGCAAUAAAAACAUGCGGAAGACGGCUAAUUUACUUCGUAAACAGCCAAUUUAUACUACUAACUCAUUUGUGAUGUUGUACUUUACCGCAGACGACUGUAUCUGAGCAACUCCUAAGUUACCUCCAAGCGAGUGCGUUUAGCGCUGCUAGAGCCAGAUGCUUCAGGCUGGUCCUCGUCCUCUGGAAAGGUCUUCCAUGGCUGUGUCUGGUAAAUAUAUCGGAUGGUUAAUCGCUCUUAGCCACUGUUUGCAUCGCUCCACAUCUCUCGGUAGGGCAUGAAAACUUACUUUUUGUCUUUUCCUGGUUCGGACUGAACAUCCCGGUACCAUGCAAUAAUUAA